This 1819-nucleotide unclassified non-coding RNA is filed under the name Hevea brasiliensis (rubber tree). The record is from RNAcentral. Lineage: Eukaryota; Viridiplantae; Streptophyta; Magnoliopsida; Malpighiales; Euphorbiaceae.
GCUUGCCUUUGCAAAUUCACUUGCGCUACGUUACCUUAAGUAAUAUCAUUACUUCUGCACCAUCAUGUUAUAUUUAACCACAGUAAUCUAGAAGAUCAAUAGGUAAAGACACAGAAGUCCAAAAAUUGUCCCUUAAGAGCGUAGCAAGAAAUCCUUAGCUGUUACGGUAAGUGGUCUCUAGUGUCAGCUUUCUUGUUUUCAGACGGCAUCGAAGUCACCAGUUUUUUAAAUUAGCUUAUUUUGUAGAUAUCAGGCUUAUCUGGGAAGAGAAGACUGAGUUGCAAGAAGCACCUGUGGCCGCCCCUUUAUAGUUGCAACAUGAAGUGCUCUGUUUCCUUUGUUAUCUUCCAAAGCCAAUACAGCAGGAUUUGGUUUGACUAAUUCAAGAACAAUAUCAAAAUUUUGUCCCUUUACAGCCAUGUGCAAGGCACUUUGGCCUUUUUUAUCUGUUCUAAAGCCAAUCUCAGGAUCCUUGCUUAGAAGAGAUCUAACUAUUUCCAAGUGCCCCAUUCUUGCAGCUGUAUGGAGAAUGGUCUUGCCAUUGUUACGAGCUAUCUUAGCAAGGUUUGAAUCGAUCUCCAGAAGGAGAUUUACUACAUCAAGGUGUCCCUGAGCAGCUGCAGUAUGUAAGGCUGUAGAGUUGGCUGAAUCCGUUGUCAUGACCAGGUUUGGAAAUGAAUGCAACAGCUCUUUCAGUACCUCAAGAUGACCCUGCUUUGCGGCAAUAUGGAAUGCAUCAAAACCAUUAUUUGCCAGAAUAGAAGCUGUCUGAAGGUCUAAAUGUUUUAGCAACUCUGCAACAACCAAACUAUGGCCAUUUUCUGCCGCAACAUACAGAACAGUCUCACCCUCCUGGUUUUGUUUAGAUAACAAAUCGUUGGUGCUUUUGCUAUGAACGAUUUCUUUUACCUUGCCAAGGUUCCCUGCUCUAAUUGCCAAGUGAAGUGGUGAAUCCCCUCUUUUCCCUGGUGAUUCCUUACCCCUUUUCCUCUCACCACCAAAGCUCAGCUGCCUCUCCAUCGCUAUCCGAAAACUUUUCUGCUUUUCCAUCAACCCUCUAAAGCUCCUCUGCUUCUCCAUCGUCCCAUUUCGAAAACUCUGCUGUUUCUCAAUAACCCCAUGAAAGCUAAUCUGUUUCUCCAUCAUCACCACCCCAAAAUUCAAUCCCUUCUUUUGUAUAUCACUAAUUUAUCCAAAGAAAUUCCCAAACCCCUUUUCCCACUUUCAAGAACUACAAAGCUUGAAACUUUUCAUCAUCAUCAACUAUAAUUUUUUUAGAUUCUGACUACCAAGGAACCCAAAAUCAAUGAUACCACCUCCAUUAAAAUCAGCACAAAAUAUCAAACCAAAAAUCAGACACUCUAAUCUAAGAUGAAAUCUUGGAGCUCAGAAAACAAGAAAUUCAAACCUUGAAUUUGGUGGGAUGAUUAAAAUUUCAGCUCUUACAAUAGCUCCAAAACAUCAAAAGAAACAAUCUUUAUCAAGAUUCCCCAAAACAAAACAAACAAACUACAUCAAUAGUCAAACCAAACCACCAAAAAGACAAGCUCUCCCCCAAAAAUAGAACUCAAGACCCCAUUUUUGAUGAACCCCAGAAGCUAAAAUGAGACAAUAAUGGUGACAAACCCCAAAACCAACCAAUAGAUUCUCUACUCAUUAAAAACCAGAUGCUGCAAAUCUUGAAGAAACCAAUCCAAAAAAGAUCAAAAACAUUGAAACAAAAACACCAUCAUCCCAUGUGAGAUAAUAUCAAUUCACAUGUAAUAAUAAUUGUAGUUUUUUAAGCAUCUAAUAACAGUUACUCAAAGCAAUAGGUAUA